CCUACGGGAGGCAGCAGUGAGGAAUAUUGGUCAAUGGACGAGAGUCUGAACCAGCCAAGUAGCGUGAAGGAUGACUGCCCUAUGGGUUGUAAACUUCUUUUAUAAAGGAAUAAAACGAGGCACGUGUGCCUAUUUGCAUGUACUUUAUGAAUAAGGAUCGGCUAACUCCGUGCCAGCAGCCGCGGUAAUACGGAGGAUCCGAGCGUUAUCCGGAUUUAGUGGGUUUAAAGGGAGCGUAGAUGGGUUGUUAAGUCAGUUGUGAAAGUUUGCGGCUCAACCGUAAAAUUGCAAUUGAUACUGGCAGUCUUGAGUACAGUUGAGGUAGGCGGAAUUCGUGGUGUAGCGGUGAAAUGCUUAGAUAUCACGAAGAACCCCGAUUGCGAAGGCAGCUUACUAAACUGUGACUGACAUUGAUGCUCGAAAGUGUGGGUAUCAAACAGGAUUAGAUACCCUAGUAGUC
Molecule: ribosomal RNA, 460 nt
Filed under: uncultured bacterium
Lineage: Bacteria
Description: partial 16S ribosomal RNA
Rfam family: Bacterial small subunit ribosomal RNA
Source: RNAcentral